GAUGAACGCUGGCGGCGUGCUUAACACAUGCAAGUCGAACGAGGUCCAACCUUCGGGUGAAGACCGAGUGGCGAACGGGUGAGUAACACGUGGGGAACCUGCCCUUCUCUCUGGGAUAACCUCGGGAAACCGAAGCUAAUACCGGAUACUCCUUGCGGACCGCAUGGUCCGCUCGGGAAAGCUCCGGCGGAGAAGGAUGGCCCCGCGGCCCAUUAGCUUGUUGGUGGGGUAACGGCCCACCAAGGCGACGAUGGGUAGCCGAGCUGAGAGGCUGAUCGGCCACACUGGGACUGAGACACGGCCCAGACUCCUACGGGAGGCAGCAGUGGGGAAUCUUGCGCAAUGGGCGAAAGCCUGACGCAGCAACGCCGCGUGCGGGAUGAAGGCUCUCGGGUCGUAAACCGCUUUCAGCAGGGAUGAAAAUGACAGUACCUGCAGAAGAAGCCCCGGCUAAAUACGUGCCAGCAGCCGCGGUAAUACGUAUGGGGCAAGCGUUAUCCGGAUUCAUUGGGCGUAAAGCGCGCGUAGGCGGCUUGUUAAGUCAGGCGUGAAAUCCGGGGGCUCAACCCGCGGCUUGCGUCUGAAACUGGCAGGCUUGAGUCUGGUAGAGGAAAGUGGAAUUCCUGGCGUAGCGGUGAAAUGCGCAGAUAUCAGGAGGAACACCAGUGGCGAAGGCGGCUUUCUGGGCCACGACUGACGCUGAGGCGCGAAAGCUAGGGGAGCGAACA
RNAcentral lists this ribosomal RNA (728 nucleotides) under actinobacterium enrichment culture. Its description in RNAcentral is "bacterial SSU rRNA". It matches the Rfam family "Bacterial small subunit ribosomal RNA", at positions 28 to 774 of the family's 1533-position model. The record is from RNAcentral. Lineage: Bacteria; Bacillati; Actinomycetota; Actinomycetes.